This 253-nucleotide ribosomal RNA is filed under the name uncultured bacterium. Its description in RNAcentral is "partial 16S ribosomal RNA". It matches the Rfam family "Bacterial small subunit ribosomal RNA", at positions 524 to 776 of the family's 1533-position model. The record is from RNAcentral.
UACGUGGGGGGCAAGCGUUGUCCGGAAUCAUUGGGCGUAAAGCGCGCGUAGGCGGCCCGAUAAGUCCGCUGUAAAAGUCCAGGGCUCAACCCUGGAAAGCCGGUGGAUACUGUCGGACUCGAGUCCGGAAGAGGCGAGUGGAAUUCCAGGUGUAGCGGUGAAAUGCGUAGAUAUCUGGAGGAAUACCGGUGGCGAAGGCGGCAUCCUGGACCGACAUUGACGCUGAUGAGCGAAAGCUAGGGGAGCAAACGGG